RNAcentral lists this ribosomal RNA (743 nucleotides) under uncultured bacterium. RNAcentral describes it as "bacterial SSU rRNA". It matches the Rfam family "Bacterial small subunit ribosomal RNA", at positions 94 to 823 of the family's 1533-position model. The record is from RNAcentral.
AGCGGCGGAUGGGUGAGUAACACGUGGGGAACCUGCCCCUAAGUCUGGGAUACCACUUGGAAACAGGUGCUAAUACCGGAUAAUAAAGCAGAUCGCAUGAUCAGCUUUUGAAAGGCGGCGUAAGCUGUCGCUAAGGGAUGGCCCCGCGGUGCAUUAGCUAGUUGGUAAGGUAACGGCUUACCAAGGCGACGAUGCAUAGCCGAGUUGAGAGACUGAUCGGCCACAUUGGGACUGAGACACGGCCCAAACUCCUACGGGAGGCAGCAGUAGGGAAUCUUCCACAAUGGACGCAAGUCUGAUGGAGCAACGCCGCGUGAGUGAAGAAGGUUUUCGGAUCGUAAAGCUCUGUUGUUGGUGAAGAAGGAUAGAGGUAGUAACUGGCCUUUAUUUGACGGUAAUCAACCAGAAAGUCACGGCUAACUACGUGCCAGCAGCCGCGGUAAUACGUAGGUGGCAAGCGUUGUCCGGAUUUAUUGGGCGUAAAGCGAGCGCAGGCGGAAAAAUAAGUCUAAUGUGAAAGCCCUCGGCUUAACCGAGGAACUGCAUCGGAAACUGUUUUUCUUGAGUGCAGAAGAGGAGAGUGGAACUCCAUGUGUAGCGGUGGAAUGCGUAGAUAUAUGGAAGAACACCAGUGGCGAAGGCGGCUCUCUGGUCUGCAACUGACGCUGAGGCUCGAAAGCAUGGGUAGCGAACAGGAUUAGAUACCCUGGUAGUCCAUGCCGUAAACGAUGAGUGCUAAGUGU